Molecule: non-coding RNA, 60 nt
Filed under: unclassified sequences
Source: RNAcentral
UCUGUGGAGAGUUGGAAAAACUUGUCAAUUUUAUUAGGCAAGAACUUUAUGAAACAGAAA